This 494-nucleotide ribosomal RNA is filed under the name uncultured bacterium. Its description in RNAcentral is "partial 16S ribosomal RNA". It matches the Rfam family "Bacterial small subunit ribosomal RNA", at positions 28 to 507 of the family's 1533-position model. The record is from RNAcentral.
GACGAACGCUGGCGGCGUGCUUAACACAUGCAAGUCGAACGGUGAAGCGCCUUCCUUUUUGGUGGGUGUGGAUGAGUGGCGAACGGGUGAGUAACACGUGAGUAACCUGCCCCCUUCUUCUGGAUAACCGCAUGAAAGUGUGGCUAAUACGGGAUAUUCUGGGUCUGUCGCAUGAUGGGUCUGGGAAAGAUAUUGUUUCGGUGGGGGAUGGGCUCGCGGCCUAUCAGCUUGUUGGUGGGGUGAUGGCCUACCAAGGCGGUGACGGGUAGCCGGCCUGAGAGGGUGGACGGUCACACUGGGACUGCGACACGGCGCAGCCUCCUACGGGAGGCAGCAGUGGGGAAUAUUGCACAAUGGGCGCAAGCAUGAUGCAGCGACGCCGCGUGAGGGAUGGAGGCCUUCGGGUUGUGAACCUCUUUCGCCAGUGAAGCAGGCCUGCCUCGUUUGUGGGUGGGUUGACGGUAGCUGGAUAAGAAGCGCCGGCUAACUACGUG